UGUAUAACAUUUAGAUUUACAUCUCAUUUAGGAAAUUAGGGGUAGAUUAGUGCAUUUGCCCGAUUAGAGUAGGAAAUAACCCCUCAAAUAUGAAAUAUGGAUGAGUUUGACUCUCUAGUCUUAGCACGCUCAUAUUCCCUCUGUUAAAGGGAAAAUUUAGUCACGAACAUUAGUCCCCCAUACCCGACAUGAUGCAUUCUUUUAGAACAUGUAUAUUUGCAUCAUUAUGAUUACUUUUAUUAUUUUCCUUUUCUUUCUUUAGAGUCUCAUAUUUUU
Molecule: long non-coding RNA, 276 nt
Filed under: Coffea arabica (coffee)
Lineage: Eukaryota; Viridiplantae; Streptophyta; Magnoliopsida; Gentianales; Rubiaceae
Description: long non-coding RNA (CARA_LNC007810)
Source: RNAcentral